This 204-nucleotide long non-coding RNA is filed under the name Salvia miltiorrhiza (redroot sage). Its description in RNAcentral is "long non-coding RNA (SMIL_LNC003535)". The record is from RNAcentral. Lineage: Eukaryota; Viridiplantae; Streptophyta; Magnoliopsida; Lamiales; Lamiaceae.
UAAUAAUAAUAAUAAUAAUAACAAACAACAUGUUCAUAGAUUAUAUAUUUUCUAUAUAUUACAAAUUAGUUUCAAUACAUUAUAAUUUUUUUUCAGCAUUUCAUACAUAUUAGGCAUUUUUUAUUAAAAGACAAGUAUAAUAGUAAUAAUAACAAACAAUAUUUCAUAGAUUAUAUAGUUUUAAAUAACAGAAUUAUCCUUAAA